RNAcentral lists this ribosomal RNA (401 nucleotides) under uncultured eukaryote. RNAcentral describes it as "SSU rRNA". It matches the Rfam family "Eukaryotic small subunit ribosomal RNA", at positions 592 to 997 of the family's 1831-position model. The record is from RNAcentral.
UAAUAGCGUAUAUAAAAAUUUGUUGCGGUAAAAAGCUCGUAGUUGGAUUUCUGCCGAGGACGACUGGUCCGCCCUCUGGGUGAGCAUCUAGUUCGGCCUGGGCAUCUUCUUGGAGAACGUAGCUGCACUUGACUGUGUGGUGCGGUAUCCAGGACUUUUACCUUGAGGAAAUUAGAAUGUUUCAAGCAGGCACACGCCUUGAAUACAUUAGCAUGGAAUAAUAAGAUAGGACCUCGGUUCUAUUUUGUUGGCUUCUAGAGCUGAGGUAAUGAUUAAUAGGGAUAGUUGGGGGCAUUCGUAUUUAACUGUCAGAGGUGAAACUCUCGGAUUUGUUAAAGACGGACUACUGCGAAACCAUUUGCCAAGGAUGUUUUCAUUGAUCAAGAACGAAAGUUAGGGGA